RNAcentral lists this ribosomal RNA (496 nucleotides) under uncultured bacterium. Its description in RNAcentral is "partial 16S ribosomal RNA". It matches the Rfam family "Bacterial small subunit ribosomal RNA", at positions 29 to 507 of the family's 1533-position model. The record is from RNAcentral.
AUGAACGCUGGCGGCGUGCCUAAUCCAUGCAAGUCGAGCGAACAGACGAGGAGCUUGCUCCUCUGACGUUAGCGGCGGACGGGUGAGUAACACGUGGAUAACCUACCUAUAAGACUGGGAUAACUUCGGGAAACCGGAGCUAAUACCGGAUAAUAUAUUGAACCGCAUGGUUCAAUAGUGAAAGACGGUUUUGCUGUCACUUAUAGAUGGAUCCGCGCCGCAUUAGCUAGUUGGUAAGGUAACGGCUUACCAAGGCGACGAUGCGUAGCCGACCUGAGAGGGUGAUCGGCCACACUGGAACUGAGACACGGUCCAGACUCCUACGGGAGGCAGCAGUAGGGAAUCUUCCGCAAUGGGCGAAAGCCUGACGGAGCAACGCCGCGUGAGUGAUGAAGGUCUUCGGAUCGUAAAACUCUGUUAUUAGGGAAGAACAAAUGUGUAAGUAACUAUGCACGUCCUGACGGUACCUAAUCAGAAAGCCACGGCUAACUACGUG